CGUGAAACUCCGAAGCCCAGCUGCUCAUUUACACGCGCGUGCUUCAUUGCUUGGCACGUGGAUACUGACACGUGUGAUGCGUUGCGCUCUGCACAGGACUUUCAAAUCUCCAUGGUGGGAACCGGGAAACGUAGAGAAACUCGAAUGUUUUCAAUCUCUUUGUUUGGAGCGCCCUAGAGAGAGAGAGGGACAGAGAGAGGAAAGAGAAUUGAGUUUUUGUCAUUUUCGGAGGGAGCGAGAGAGAGAGGCUACAGAUUGGAAGAACCAGUGGAGAGUCUAGUUUCUUUGACUGGACAUGGCAGCGGAAAAGGGGCAGAAUAAGGAGGAAGGCAUGUUUUCAGGCAUGACUUUCUACUUGGUCGCUAAAGGAGUUCAGCCUAAGAGACUUCAGAUUUGGAGGGAAAAGCUGGUUCAGAUGGGAGCUGCAAUUGAGGAUCAUCUUUCUAAGAAGGUUAUGCAUAUCCUCGCCAAAAAUCAGCAAACUCUUGUUGAGCAAGUGGGUCUCCGGCAUCUAAGACAUUUCAAGGGAAAGUUACUUCUCUACCAAUGGUUGGAGGAGUGCUUGAAACGUGGGGAAAAGGCAUCUGAUGAUUCUUAUUUUAUUAACCUUGAAAAUGUGAAAACAUAUCAUCCAACCGAUAAGAAGCUUGAUCCAACCAAAGAAGACGUUUCAAAUGAUCAGGAAUCUAAAAGUUCCAAAAAAAUCAAAGUGCGUAAUGAGGAUUCAAAAGGUUCAUCUGCAAUUAUGAACAAGGACACCUGGAUAACAGCUGAGUUUUCUGGUGGCAAUGUAGCAUUGGAACGUCAAGUUGACAAAGUUCAUCAGCCACUGGAAAAACCAAAAAUUGGAACUGAUUCUUCCAAUUCCUUGUUAUUGCAAUCAAAUUCUGAGGCUGCAUAUACGAGUACUGGAGAAGCACAUCUUACAAAUAAGGAGUUAUCCUCAGCAUACAAGCCACCAGAUUUGAACAAGAAUAUUACAGAGAUAUUUGGGAGGCUUAUUAAUAUUUAUAGAGCUCUCGGAGAUGAUAGGAGGUCAUUCAGCUACUAUAAGGCUAUUCCUGUAAUUGAACAAUUGCCAUUCAAAAUUGAAAGUGGUGACCAGGUUAAACAUCUCCCAGCCAUUGGAAAGUCAUUGCAGGACCAUAUUCAUGAGAUAGUAAUCACUGGGAAGCUGUCAAAACUGGAGCACUUUGAGACAGACGAAAAGGUUCGAACAAUCACUCUGCUUGGUGAAGUUUGGGGCAUUGGUCCUGCAACUGCACUAAAACUGUAUGAGAAAGGACACCGUACUUUAGAAGACCUUAGAGGUGAUGAUUCUUUGACUAGCGCACAGAGAAUAGGGUUGAAAUACUUCGAUGACAUCAAGAAGAGAAUUCCUCGACAGAUGGUUAGAGAUAUGGAGAUUCUUCUGCAAAGGGCUGGAGAAGAUGUUCUACCUGGUGUCGUUAUUAUUUGUGGAGGAUCAUUUCGACGUGGAAAAUCAUCUUGUGGGGAUUUAGAUGUUGUUGUAACACACCCUGAUGGUGAAAGCCAUAAAGGUUUCUUGUCACGCUUCGUGAAACAUUUGAAGGAUAUGCAGUUCUUAAGAGAAGAUUUAGUCUUCAGCACUCAUAGCACAGAGGGAACUGAUUCUGGUGUUGACACAUAUUUUGGCCUUUGCACAUAUCCAGGGCAGGAGCAGCGCCACCGUAUUGAUUUGAAGGUAUACCCAAGGGAUAUAUAUGCUUUUGGAUUGAUCGCUUGGACUGGCAAUGAUGUCCUAAAUCGGCGAUUAAGGUUGCUAGCAGAUUCGAAGGGCUACAGAUUGGAUGAUACAGGACUCUUUCUGGUUGCUCAUGGUUCUAGUGGUAAAAAGGUGAGAGACUUCGAUGGUAUUCAGUAUUCUAUGUACUUUUUUUUGGUGAUCUCCACAGCUUCGAUGGUCUACUUUUUUUUUUUCUCAUCACCUCUCAGGUUGCUAAAGCCAGUUCGAGUUUGAAACAGAGAACAGAGAAAGAAGUCUUUGACUUCCUUGGAUUUCCCUGGCUUGAGCCUCACGAGAGGAAUUUGUGAGUUUUUCCAGGAACAGGUGUGGUUUUAGAUCCUAGCAUAUUAUCAAAUUUACACCAAAAUCUGGACCAUUCAGCUUACAAGCAACCACUCUUGCGUCUAUAGUGUAAGCCACCUUUUUUUUGUGCUUUGUUUAUAGUUCCCGGUGUAUAUAAAUCUUUUGCCCAUGAUGUACAGUCUGAGAUCAGCUCUUUAGGUUUAACUUGGGUUUAAACAGCAAAUCCUUUGACAGUUUACAUAACUCAAGGAUUACUCAACGCAUGGUCACAUACUAGCGCCAUGUGAAUCUGUAAAUGCAAAAUCAGAAGAAAUGGAGCUUAGUUUUUGCACAUACGAUAUAUCCCAACUUGUCUACAGCCAUGAUUGUAUUUUGUGUUA
This is an RNA transcript of Amborella trichopoda, 2430 nucleotides long. It is a transcript of the gene named DNA polymerase lambda (POLL), with no coding region annotated. The record is from RefSeq and is a predicted model, not a curated record. Lineage: Eukaryota; Viridiplantae; Streptophyta; Magnoliopsida; Amborellales; Amborellaceae.